This 479-nucleotide ribosomal RNA is filed under the name uncultured bacterium. RNAcentral describes it as "partial 16S ribosomal RNA". It matches the Rfam family "Bacterial small subunit ribosomal RNA", at positions 28 to 507 of the family's 1533-position model. The record is from RNAcentral.
GAUGAACGCUAGCGGGAGGCCUAACACAUGCAAGCCGAGCGGUAUUUGUUCUUCGGAACAGAGAGAGCGGCGCACGGGUGCGGAACACGUGUGCAACCUGCCUUUAUCUGGGGGAUAGCCUUUCGAAAGGAAGAUUAAUACCCCAUAAUAUAUUGAGUGGCAUCACUUGAUAUUGAAAACUCCGGUGGAUAGAGAUGGGCACGCGCAAGAUUAGAUAGUUGGUGAGGUAACGGCUCACCAAGUCAAUGAUCUUUAGGGGGCCCGAGAGGGUGAUCCCCCACACUGGUACUGAGACACGGACCAGACUCCUACGGGAGGCAGCAGUGAGGAAUAUUGGACAAUGGGUUAGCGCCUGAUCCAGCCAUCCCGCGUGAAGGACGACGGCCCUAUGGGUUGUAAACUUCUUUUGUAUAGGGAUAAACCUACUCUCGUGAGAGUAGCUGAAGGUACUAUACGAAUAAGCACCGGCUAACUCCGUG